This 2034-nucleotide long non-coding RNA is filed under the name Rattus norvegicus (Norway rat). RNAcentral's name for it is "long non-coding RNA NONRATT016798". Lineage: Eukaryota; Metazoa; Chordata; Mammalia; Rodentia; Muridae. The record is from RNAcentral.
GUGAAGACAUUUUGAAAAGUGUAAAAAUCAUGCCUUUUAAUUUUAGCAGCUACUAAUCUUGAUUCAUAUAUUGGUAUACUAUAAAAAUUCACUUAAAUAGAAACAUGGAGUUGGAAGGAGUGAGAAUAGCUGUGACUCUCAAGUCAACUGAAGUCUGGAUUCUCCUUCCCUAGUGUUUGGGAGUAUAUUCUGCAUUCAUAUUUCAAUACAAUCCUAUCAGAAUGUGAAGCUGCUGAAUGUCUGCAUUUCUGUUCUUUCUGUACAGCAUGUACUGCCCUGAUCUCAGCCACGAGGCUGGUUUGAAAGCUCUUUGCUGAGUACCAAGUCUACUUUUAACUCUGCUUUGAGUUUAGAGAGCAAUAGACUUGGAAAAGUAGGCUCUCAACAAAGUAAUUUUUUUAAUAUUUAGUUGAAAUUUUAAACAGUCCCAUCUUGGAGAAAAUCUUAGCUGUGAGUUUUUUCCACCUCUGUCCUAGAGGAAAGACAGACAGCACCCUCUAAAGCCAGUGUUGGUGAUGAAACAGAAGGAGUAGUUCAUUCAGAAGAAUGCGCAGGCCAGUUCAGGAGAGCUUCUCCUGCCCCAGGCUGGUGACAAGACUGUACAGGAUGUGACGUACAGGGAAAGCAAAGAAGGCCCAGAGCCAUUAGUCUACACCUGAAUGCUGGGCUCUGUUUCAUGGCAGUGUUAAAAGGCUUCUGUAUACAAACAACUAGUGUAUAUUAACACCUUGACAUUAAAGUCUUGGCCAACAACCCCAAGCUCUACCUCUCAUUCCAGCAUAAAACCAUGAGAGUAUCCAAGCUAGAUUCUUCUGUAUAUGUUUCCAUUUUUAGUUUGUUUUUGUUUUUGUUUUUGUUUUUUUUUGUACAAAACUGAGUCACAGAGGCAGAGCACUUAACUCCUUUUUAACUAGAAGGAAAAAGAAAAUACCUUCAACUAAUCUCCAUUCAAAACCAUUCAGGGCAAUCUGGGCCCCAUGGUAAUCAUGAACACAAAAUGAGACCCUGACACAAGAAGCAAUUUUUUUUUAAAUCAGGCAGCACUGAGUUUUGAUAAGUCAACAAAUCCAGAAGAAAUUCCAGACGCUCAGAUUUCCAUGUUAAAUAAGCCUCUUUUGAAGCAUAAGCUGACAGUCUCAUUAAAUACUUCACAGAAACACUUCUGAAACCUCAGGCUUCCGUGUUUACAGCAAAUCUCCGAGAGACACAGUGAGCUCAUAUGACGAGAUUGUUCUGUUUUCUUCACAAGUCUUUCACGUGGACAUUUCAGAAACUCAGUUCUCAUAGAUGGUACAUCAUGUGAGUAUGAUCAAGUAGGGUAGCUGAGACUGUAUGAGGCCACUGUGCAUCCUGGCUUAGUCAGGUACUGAGCAUAACGUUAGUAGCCAAGCUGUACAGACGAAGACUCAGUAGUAAGCCUAAGCUGAGACUGCCCUGGAAAAUGAGGCCUUGUUCCCUUCACCGUGGGGUUUUCACCAGAAAAUGUAAAAAUGGUAAUAUGAGUGGUCUCCCCAUAGAGCAAAGAUGAUAAAAAUUUUGAUUUACAAUGUGUUCUGUAUCUUGAAGUGAGUGUGAUUAUCUUAUAUACAUUCUUACACUGCUAUUCAUCAGCCAGAUUCAGUGCAAGGAAAGACAGACUGUAGAUGACUUCGGUGAACUUUGACAAUAUGUCUUGAGGAUUACCUUCCUCCGGGUUAGUUUACCCCUUUAGAGGUUAAUACAGUGUUUAUGAAAAAAAUGUUACUGGUAACUGAAGGGCAGCACAGCGGUAAGGAACCUUCCGGCAUGUGCAAGACCCUGGGGUUGGUCCUGAGCGCUGGAAAAAAAAAAAAACGAAGUGACUCCAUUGGUAUUCUGUUCUAAUACUUGGAGAAUGACCUUCAUACUUAUAUAUGUCUUAUGUCUUAACCAUACAGUGAUAAAAUCCAGGAAAUGUUUUUUAACAAAACUGUUUGUAAAAUGUUUAUAAUUAUAUAAAAGUGGAUCUUCUACAUGUUCAAUAAAAAGCAAUAUCUCCAAAUUGUAGAUGCUCUU